This 1034-nucleotide long non-coding RNA is filed under the name Urocitellus parryii (Arctic ground squirrel). RNAcentral describes it as "lncRNA (ENSUPAG00010001165.1)". Lineage: Eukaryota; Metazoa; Chordata; Mammalia; Rodentia; Sciuridae. The record is from RNAcentral.
CGGCGUGCACCCGGUGAUUGGGCCGCGGUCGGCACUUCCGCACCGCGGGCCUGGCGGCCGGGGAAGGGCGCUCUGCACCCCKCGCUCCUGCCACCCUAGAGGCGCUCUCGCCCGGAGCGGGCUGGGGGUUCUUGAAGCGCCCGCGGGCGGAGGGUGAGGGGRAAGGAAGGAGGAUUUGCAACAAUACCUCAGGGAGGAGGCAGACGGGGCAGCGGCAGCAGCGGCGGCUGGAGGCGGAGGCAGAGGCGGAGGAGGAGGUGCMCGGGCACUCCCCCUCCCAUUGUCCCCAGCCCCGGACAGGCCCGGCCCCACGCCCCGCACCGGUCCGGGCGAGCGCGCCGCCCGCGCCCAGCGCCCCGCGUCCCGGGUCGUGCAGCCAGCCCUUACCUUGCAGCGCUCGGCUCUCCCCGAUCGCUAAGCUACUUAUCCCGGGAAAGCUCGCGCGGGGCCCGGGAGCGAACCCACAGACAAAAAGUGAAACUUCGGCAGGGCUGGAGCGGCUGCUGACCUCCUCCUGAGCCCCACCCCGGAUUCCCAGCAAGACUCAAAAUUUACAGGAUAUUCAAACUGGCAGAGACAAAACUUUCAACCCAUUCACUUCACCCGUGAGAAUGCUGAAACUUGAAGAAAAGAAAUGAUUUGCACAGAGCCUACGCUCAACAGAUCCAGGAGCGGGACCCGAGUCCCUGUCUCCCCUCAGGAUUGAUUCCAGCCCGCAGGCAGGGUCCUGACUGCCUCCUAACCCCUGAGCUGAGAACCAGGUUAGAUAUCAGACUAGGCAGGAGGACCACCCAGUGAAGUGACUUUGUAUUUCCCUUCCAGAGCUAGUUCUGGGAAGGUUCUGGUUGACAGUGAGCCCUGAGGAACAGAGACAUUCAGUUGCUUCAGGGUAACUUCCCCUGUACUGUGCUGAAAGAGGUGAACCCCAGGAGUUAAAACAACUACAGCUUGCUCUGUACUUACAGCUUCGAAAAAAAGUAUGCGAACUGGGUGGACUGGUUUGAAUAAAGACAAGCCUCUUCUUGGAAGGUUCA